GACGAACGCUGGCGGCGUGCCUAAUACAUGCAAGUAGAACGCACAGUUUAUACCGUAGCUUGCUACACCAUAAACUGUGAGUUGCGAACGGGUGAGUAACGCGUAGGUAACCUGCCUGGUAGCGGGGGAUAACUAUUGGAAACGAUAGCUAAUACCGCAUAAUAUUAAUUAUUGCAUGAUAAUUGAUUGAAAGAUGCAAUUGCAUCACUACCAGAUGGACCUGCGUUGUAUUAGCUAGUAGGUGAGGUAACGGCUCACCUAGGCGACGAUACAUAGCCGACCUGAGAGGGUGAGCGGCCACACUGGGACUGAGACACGGCCCAGACUCCUACGGGAGGCAGCAGUAGGGAAUCUUCGGCAAUGGACGAAAGUCUGACCGAGCAACGCCGCGUGAGUGAAGAAGGUUUUCGGAUCGUAAAGCUCUGUUGUAAGAGAAGAACGGGUGUGAGAGUGGAAAGUUCACACUGUGACGGUAUCUUACCAGAAAGGGACGGCUAACUACGUG
This 505-nucleotide ribosomal RNA is filed under the name uncultured bacterium. Its description in RNAcentral is "partial 16S ribosomal RNA". It matches the Rfam family "Bacterial small subunit ribosomal RNA", at positions 28 to 507 of the family's 1533-position model. The record is from RNAcentral.